GCAGUCGAGCGGACAGAAGGGAGCUUGCUCCCGGAUGUUAGCGGCGGACGGGUGAGUAACACGUGGGUAACCUGCCUGUAAGACUGGGAUAACUCCGGGAAACCGGAGCUAAUACCGGAUAGUUCCUUGAACCGCAUGGUUCAAGGAUGAAAGACGGUUUCGGCUGUCACUUACAGAUGGACCCGCGGCGCAUUAGCUAGUUGGUGAGGUAACGGCUCACCAAGGCGACGAUGCGUAGCCGACCUGAGAGGGUGAUCGGCCACACUGGGACUGAGACACGGCCCAGACUCCUACGGGAGGCAGCAGUAGGGAAUCUUCCGCAAUGGACGAAAGUCUGACGGAGCAACGCCGCGUGAGUGAUGAAGGUUUUCGGAUCGUAAAGCUCUGUUGUUAGGGAAGAACAAGUGCAAGAGUAACUGCUUGCACCUUGACGGUACCUAACCAGAAAGCCACGGCUAACUACGUGCCAGCAGCCGCGGUAAUACGUAGGUGGCAAGCGUUGUCCGGAAUUAUUGGGCGUAAAGGGCUCGCAGGCGGUUUCUUAAGUCUGAUGUGAAAGCCCCCGGCUCAACCGGGGAGGGUCAUUGGAAACUGGGAAACUUGAGUGCAGAAGAGGAGAGUGGAAUUCCACGUGUAGCGGUGAAAUGCGUAGAGAUGUGGAGGAACACCAGUGGCGAAGGCGACUCUCUGGUCUGUAACUGACGCUGAGGAGCGAAAGCGUGGGGAGCGAACAGGAUUAGAUACCCUGGUAGUCCACGCCGUAAACGAUGAGUGCUAAGUGUUAGGGGGUUUCCGCCCCUUAGUGCUGCAGCUAACGCAUUAAGCACUCCGCCUGGGGAGUACGGUCGCAAGACUGAAACUCAAAGGAAUUGACGGGGGCCCGCACAAGCGGUGG
RNAcentral lists this ribosomal RNA (895 nucleotides) under Bacillus aerius. RNAcentral's name for it is "bacterial SSU rRNA". It matches the Rfam family "Bacterial small subunit ribosomal RNA", at positions 57 to 935 of the family's 1533-position model. The record is from RNAcentral. Lineage: Bacteria; Bacillati; Bacillota; Bacilli; Caryophanales; Bacillaceae.